Molecule: ribosomal RNA, 715 nt
Filed under: Photobacterium angustum
Lineage: Bacteria; Pseudomonadati; Pseudomonadota; Gammaproteobacteria; Vibrionales; Vibrionaceae
Description: bacterial SSU rRNA
Rfam family: Bacterial small subunit ribosomal RNA
Source: RNAcentral
GCGUAGAGAUCUGAAGGAAUACCGGUGGCGAAGGCGGCCCCCUGGACAGAUACUGACACUCAGAUGCGAAAGCGUGGGGAGCAAACAGGAUUAGAUACCUGGUAGUCCACGCCGUAAACGAUGUCUACUUGGAGGUUGUGGCCUUGAGCCGUGGCUUUCGGAGCUAACGCGUUAAGUAGACCGCCUGGGGAGUACGGUCGCAAGAUUAAAACUCAAAUGAAUUGACGGGGGCCCGCACAAGCGGUGGAGCAUGUGGUUUAAUUCGAUGCAACGCGAAGAACCUUACCUACUCUUGACAUCCAGAGAACUUUCCAGAGAUGGAUUGGUGCCUUCGGGAACUCUGAGACAGGUGCUGCAUGGCUGUCGUCAGCUCGUGUUGUGAAAUGUUGGGUUAAGUCCCGCAACGAGCGCAACCCUUAUCCUUGUUUGCCAGCACGUAAUGGUGGGAACUCCAGGGAGACUGCCGGUGAUAAACCGGAGGAAGGUGGGGACGACGUCAAGUCAUCAUGGCCCUUACGAGUAGGGCUACACACGUGCUACAAUGGCGUAUACAGAGGGCUGCCAACCAGCGAUGGUGAGCGAAUCCCAGAAAGUACGUCGUAGUCCGGAUUGGAGUCUGCAACUCGACUCCAUGAAGUCGGAAUCGCUAGUAAUCGUGAAUCAGAAUGUCACGGUGAAUACGUUCCCGGGCCUUGUACACACCGCCCGUCACACC